This 332-nucleotide unclassified non-coding RNA is filed under the name soil metagenome. Its description in RNAcentral is "partial contains 5.8S ribosomal RNA, internal transcribed spacer 2, and large subunit ribosomal RNA". The stretch from base 1 to 120 matches the Rfam family "5.8S ribosomal RNA", at positions 35 to 154 of the family's 154-position model. The record is from RNAcentral.
GAUGAAGAACGCAGCGAAAUGCGAUAAGUAGUGUGAAUUGCAGAAUUCAGUGAAUCAUCGAAUCUUUGAACGCACAUUGCGCCCUUUGGUAUUCUUUAGGGCAUGCCUGUUCGAGCGUCAUUUAAACCUUCAAGCUAAGCUUGGUGUUGGGUGACUGUCCGCUUCACGGCGGACUCGCCUCAAAAUUAUUGGCGGCCGGUACAUUGGCUUCGAGCGCAGCAGAAACGCGAACUCGGGCCCGUCGUAUUGGCUCCCAGAAGCUAUCUUCACAAUUUUGACCUCGGAUCAGGUAGGGAUACCCGCUGAACUUAAGCAUAUCAAUAAGCGGAGGA